This 468-nucleotide ribosomal RNA is filed under the name uncultured bacterium. Its description in RNAcentral is "partial 16S ribosomal RNA". It matches the Rfam family "Bacterial small subunit ribosomal RNA", at positions 28 to 507 of the family's 1533-position model. The record is from RNAcentral.
GAUGAACGCUGGCGGCGUGCCUAAUACAUGCAAGUCGAACGGAAAGGUGCUGCUUUUGUGGCUUGCUCGAGUGGCGAACGGGUGAGUAACACGUGAGUAACCCGCCCUUGUCUUUGGGAUAACUUUAGGAAACAGGGGCUAAUACCGGAUAGGAGAUCCUGCUGCAUGGUGGGGGUUGGAGAGUUUCGGCCGUUGGGGAUGGAUUCGCGGCUUAUCAGCUUCAUGGUGGGGUAGGGGCUUACCAAGUCUUCGACGGGUAGCCCGCCUGAGAGGGUGACCGGCGACCAUGGUACUGCGAUACGGCGCAGUCUCCUACGGUAGGCAGCAGUGGGGAGUAUUGCGCAAUGGGCGGAAGCCUGAGACAGCAAUGCCGCGUUCGGAAUGCCGGCUUUCGAGUUGUAAACCGCUUUCGAAUGUGCCGAGGACGGAGUGACGGUACUGGGUAAGGAAGCACCGGCUAACUACGUG